UGGAGUCUUCUGCCCCACACACAUGACUCUUCCAGUCGAAGUGUCAUUCUACAGUGUUUCAGAUGAUAAUGCACCCUCUCCCUAUAUGGAUUAUUUCAUAUAGUGGUUUUCAAGUCAUGCAGUGGAUUCUGGUGUCCCAUGGAUGUCUAGAAACCCUUGCUUGUUUUAUUAGCUGGACUUCAUUGUUCUGAUUCUUCUCCACAUGCUGUAAAUAAUCAUGUAAUGUUAUGGUUGUGCAUCACAGAACUAGUACAACAUUUAUCUAAUGCAGUGGUUCCCAAACUGGGGUUCAUAAACCCCGGGGGUUUGCGAAAUGUUACAGGGUUUCUCGGGGA
Molecule: non-coding RNA, 335 nt
Organism: Chelonoidis abingdonii (Abingdon island giant tortoise)
Lineage: Eukaryota; Metazoa; Chordata; Testudines; Testudinidae
Source: RefSeq, a predicted model, not a curated record